AACGAACGCUGGCGGCAGGCCUAACACAUGCAAGUCGAACGGUUGUAGCAAUACAGCCGUGGCGCACGGGUGAGUAACGCGUGGGAAUCUGCCCAGUAGUACGGAAUAACAGUUGGAAACGACUGACAAUACCGUAUACGCCCUUCGGGGGAAAGUUUUUCGCUAUUGGAUGAGCCCGCGACAGAUUAGCUAGUUGGUGGGGUAAUGGCCUACCAAGGCGACGAUCUGUAGCUGUUCUGAGAGGAAGACCAGCCACACUGGAACUGAGACACGGUCCAGACUCCUACGGAAGGCAGCCGUGGGGAAUAUUGGACAAUGGGCGAAGGCCUGAUCCAGCCAUGCCGCGUGAGUGAUGAAGGCCUUAGGGUUGUAAAGCUCUUUUGGCGGGGAAGAUAAUGACGGUACCCGCAGAAUAAGUUCCGGCUAACUUCGUGCCAGCAGCCGCAGUAA
Molecule: ribosomal RNA, 450 nt
Filed under: uncultured bacterium
Lineage: Bacteria
Description: partial 16S ribosomal RNA
Rfam family: Bacterial small subunit ribosomal RNA
Source: RNAcentral